GUCCACGCCCUAAACGAUGCAGGCUCGGUGUGGGACGUUCAAUCAUGUCCCGUGCCUUAGCUUACGCGGUAAGCCUGCCGCCUGAGAAGUACGGCCGCAAGGCUAAAACUCAAAGGAAUAGACGGGGACCCCACACAAGCGGUGGAGCAUGGGGUUUAAUUCGAUGAUAAGCGAAGCACCUCACCCAGGCUUGACAUGGUUGGAAUCCGGCAGAAACGUCGGAGUGCCGCAAGGAACCAACACACAGGCGCUGCACGGUCGUCGU
Molecule: ribosomal RNA, 265 nt
Filed under: uncultured bacterium
Lineage: Bacteria
Description: partial 16S ribosomal RNA
Rfam family: Bacterial small subunit ribosomal RNA
Source: RNAcentral